RNAcentral lists this ribosomal RNA (253 nucleotides) under uncultured bacterium. RNAcentral's name for it is "partial 16S ribosomal RNA". It matches the Rfam family "Bacterial small subunit ribosomal RNA", at positions 524 to 776 of the family's 1533-position model. The record is from RNAcentral.
UACAGAGGGGGCAAGCGUUGUUCGGAAUUACUGGGCGUAAAGAGCGUGUAGGCGGCCAAGCAGGUCCGUUGUGAAAACUGGAGGCUUAACCUCCAGACGUCGACGGAAACCGCGUGGCUAGAGUCCGGAAGAGGAGAGUGGAAUUCCUGGUGUAGCGGUGAAAUGCGCAGAUAUCAGGAAGAACACCAAUGGCGAAGGCAGCUCUCUGGGACGUUACUGACGCUGAGACGCGAAAGCGUGGGGAGCGAACAGG